AAACCAACAGGGAUUACCUCAGUAACGGCGAGUGAAGCGGUAACAGCUCAAAUUUGAAAUCUGGCUCUUUUAGGGUCCGAGUUGUAAUUUGUAGAAGAUGCUUUGGGUGUGGCCUUGGUCUAAGUUCCUUGGAACAGGACGUCAUAGAGGGUGAGAAUCCCGUAUGUGACUAGGUGCUUUCGCCCGUGUAAAGCUCUUUCGACGAGUCGAGUUGUUUGGGAAUGCAGCUCAAAAUGGGUGGUAAAUUUCAUCUAAAGCUAAAUAUUGGCCAGAGACCGAUAGCGCACAAGUAGAGUGAUCGAAAGAUGAAAAGCACUUUGGAAAGAGAGUUAAACAGUACGUGAAAUUGUUGAAAGGGAAGCGCUUGCAACCAGACUUAGGCGCGGCCGAUCAUCUAGGGUUCUCCCUGGUGCACUCGGUCGUCUCUAGGCCAGCAUCGGUUUGGGUGGUGGGAUAAAGGCCGUGGGAAUGUAGCUUCUUUCGGGGAGUGUUAUAGCCCUCGGUGCAAUGCCGCCUACCUGGACCGAGGACCGCGCUUCGGCUAGGAUGCUGGCGUAAUGGUUGUAAGCGAC
RNAcentral lists this ribosomal RNA (572 nucleotides) under Lachnum sp. OTU8 TS-2013. RNAcentral's name for it is "eukaryotic LSU rRNA". It matches the Rfam family "Eukaryotic large subunit ribosomal RNA", at positions 62 to 648 of the family's 3401-position model. The record is from RNAcentral. Lineage: Eukaryota; Fungi; Ascomycota; Leotiomycetes; Helotiales; Lachnaceae.